Ursus americanus (American black bear) is the source of this 131-nucleotide ribosomal RNA. Lineage: Eukaryota; Metazoa; Chordata; Mammalia; Carnivora; Ursidae. The record is from Ensembl.
GUCUAUGGCCAUACCAGCCCGAAUGCGCCUGAUCUCAUCUGAUCUUGGAAGCUAAGCAGGGUCAGCCUGGUUAGUAGUUGGAUGGGAGAAAACAGAUAACCCAAUGAAAAAACAAGCAAAGGAUAUAAACA